Long non-coding RNA from Rhopalosiphum padi (bird cherry-oat aphid), 2057 nucleotides. RefSeq lists it as uncharacterized. The record is from RefSeq and is a predicted model, not a curated record. NCBI's taxonomy places the organism in Eukaryota, Metazoa, Arthropoda, Insecta, Hemiptera, Aphididae. The transcript is spliced from 3 exons.
AAGACGAAAUUUCACAUAAACGGUUAUGAAUGUUAUGAUAUUAUGGAUUGUAUUUAUACAUAUUUGUAAUUUUUUUUUUUACAUUUAAGUUUUGCCACGCACAAGGCCAAUCGCUAACAUGUUUAGCGCGUAACUCACGGACGUCGUGAUAAGAACAAAAAGCUAUUUAUGGUAACACGCACGUAAGUUUUGGGACACAGCUUCGGAAUAAACACUAGGCAGAGGAGCGAUUUUUACAUCACGUCAAUUCCAUAAUAGGUUCUCAAUGUGGCAUUAUUAAGCAGGUCGUUGGCUCAACAUGACAGAAAAAUAAAAACAACAAAUAGAAGGCCAAGACGACCCAACGGAGCUCUAACUUCUAACCCGUAUAAAUAAUAUACGUCUAAAAUGUUCUAUCAACUCAAAAACCUAAUAUGAAUGAAUUAUGGUAUUUUAUUUUUAUACAAUAGUAAUUGCUUAUACAAUAUACGGCCAUAUUACUUUUUGAUCAGUGACAGUUCUAUGAUAUACAUAUACAUAUAAUAAAUAUAAUACACGGUAAUGCAUCGUUAGUACCUAUUCAUAUGCCCAAAAAUAGACUAAUGCAUAUGAUAACCGUAUGUGAAUUUGGGUAGCCUGGCGGAUGUCUUAUAUAAUGAGAAUUUGCACAUGACACGGUUAAGAAAAUAAAAAUUGUGACCAUAUGUGGACUGAUCAGUUUGGCGCCAAAUAAGGCAGCAAACUUCAACAUCAUCCUUGUAGCCGCACGGGAGUCCGACAAAUCUCAACAUUACUUUCACUGUAUUCAACUAUAAACAUUAAUUCUCUGCAUAAUAUAUAGAAUAUAUCGACAUUUUAUUCUCUUUGGACAAAAUCAUUCUACAUAAUGAAUAUUAAUUAUACACACAAGUGACAUGAGUAUGUACAAGACAUCGACAAGAUAGAUUCGAAUAUCUCUAUAUAUUAUGAAAAAAUAAUACGAGUCACGAACGACAAGUAAAGAUAUUAGUCAAAAACAAACGGCCUAACCGAAUUUGGUUUGAUAUUUUAUGUUCUAUUAUUUGAUUCGAAAAUCGGCGUGUAAGGUCGUCGGAACAGUAAGAAAAUUAUUAUAAUUAAGCAUUCAACGGAAACCGCCUAAAUUGGAAUAGACUACUGACGAUACACUGCAGACAUUGACGAUUAUAACUGCAUGAUACUUAAGUUAGACAUGAAUAUUUUACCAUAUUAGAGUUAAAACCAACCAUUCAUGGGUGUUUAACUUCAGUAUGUACACAACAAUGACGAGUUUCGCUAUUAUUCCAAGCAAAAUAAGGACAGAUUAUGUAUUGUUCGAGCCAAUAAAGAUAAUAGCUUUCACCGCGUUUGCCACCAAGUAAUGAUUCGUACAUAGUGUACGGUGUGCUGCAGCUGUUUAAGGCAAAUAUUAAUAUUCAAUGGACAGUGCAAAAAUGCAUGACGUACAAGUAUACAAGAUAAACGUACGACGUGUCGCAUGUAUCAAUCAUGUACAGCAGAAGUAUAUAAAUAAAGUAUAUGCCAAGUAAUAACAUACAUCUAUCAAUUAGAAAGAGUACAAAUCACUUUAGGGUAUAAUACUAAUGUAAUAACUUUGUGAUCUGACUAAAGGAAACAUAAAGACAUAAAUAAUAGAACAAAUAUGGGUAGAAAUAUUGCAAAUCCAUAACUAAGGUCAACUUCAUUCUGGUUUUCAUAGUAUACCAGCUUUCACGUAAACCCUUACAGAUUAAAAACGGAAAACCUUAUGCGAUAUAUGUGCAUUAUUAGAGUCGAGUUUUGCACGCGUCCGUCGACAUAAUGAAUAAAACAACAGUAAACGUGAGAUCUAUUAAUGCAGGCAAAAAGCACGGUGUAUUACAUGAAUUACUUUUCAGAUAUCCAUCUAAGAGCCUAAUAUAGAAAUGGGAGUGGUUUAGAGUUAAAUCAACAUUACGCCUUCAUUUCAAACCUACAGAAAUGCUAAAAGUACAAAAUCUACAUGUAUAAAAUUAAUUUGCAACAACUUAAAUAUGUAGUCGCUUGUUUUUAUUUUAUAUCAAUUUAAAUUUUGAAAUGUU